AGAGUUUGAUCCUGGCUCAGGAUGAACGCUGACAGAAUGCUUAACACAUGCAAGUCGACUGGAAUUCUUCUUCGGAAGAUAGUACGGUGGCGGACGGGUGAGUAACGCGUAAAGAAUUUGCCCUUCAGACUGGGACAACUAACCGAAAGGUUAGCUAAUACCGGAUAUUAUGAGACCUUGGCAUCAAGGACUUAUGAAAGCUAUAUGCGCUGGAGGAGAACUUUGCGUCCCAUUAGGUAGUUGGUAGGGUAAUGGCCUACCAAGCCGACGAUGGGUAGCCGGCCUGAGAGGGUGAACGGCCACAAGGGGACUGAGACACGGCCCUUACUCCUACGGGAGGCAGCAGUGGGGAAUAUUGGACAAUGGACCAAAAGUCUGAUCCAGCAAUUCUGUGUGCACGAUGAAGGUCUUCGGAUUGUAAAGUGCUUUCAGGUGGGAAGAAGAAAGUGACGGUACCACCAGAAGAAGCGACGCUAAAUA
RNAcentral lists this ribosomal RNA (480 nucleotides) under uncultured bacterium. RNAcentral's name for it is "bacterial SSU rRNA". It matches the Rfam family "Bacterial small subunit ribosomal RNA", at positions 8 to 503 of the family's 1533-position model. The record is from RNAcentral.